CAGCCGCCGCGGGAAUACAGAGGGUGCGAGCGUUAAUCGGAUUUACUGGGCGUAAAGCGUGCGUAGGCGGCUUUUUAAGUCGGAUGUGAAAUCCCUGAGAUUAACUUAGGAAUUGCAUUCGAUACUGGGAAGCUAGAGUAUGGGAGAGGAUGGUAGAAUUCCAGGUGUAGCGGUGAAAUGCGUAGAGAUCUGGAGGAAUACCGAUGGCGAAGGCAGCCAUCUGGCCUAAUACUGACGCUGAGGUACGAAAGCAUGGGGAGCAAACAGGAUUAGAGACCCCAGUAGUCCCUGUCUCUUAUAC
This 301-nucleotide ribosomal RNA is filed under the name uncultured bacterium. RNAcentral describes it as "partial 16S ribosomal RNA". It matches the Rfam family "Bacterial small subunit ribosomal RNA", at positions 509 to 807 of the family's 1533-position model. The record is from RNAcentral.